This 436-nucleotide long non-coding RNA is filed under the name Homo sapiens (human). RNAcentral's name for it is "HSALNT0196497". Lineage: Eukaryota; Metazoa; Chordata; Mammalia; Primates; Hominidae. The record is from RNAcentral.
GCCGUGGAUUUAGCAGGGACUAGGCUUCCCAGAAACCUCGCCGCCCCUCUCCUCGCUGCGGGGUGUGGGGCCGCCAUCAGAGACAGCAGCCGGCAGGAGCAAUUAGAGGCCAGGAAGGAGCCGGGGCCUCCCAGAGAGUUCCCAGGACUGGGAUCCACACUCAGCGUCAGUCAGCACCAGCGACGCCGCCUCUGCCCGGCACCCCCUGCCCGGGGAGCCCCAGCGGGGAGGGAGAUGAAUGGAAAGGGUGCACUGGAGACUGCUGGAUGAGAUGGAAGCUUCGGGAAUUUAGCCCCACAGAUAGGCAGAGCAAGUACCCCAAAAUGUCAGCUGCUGGCUUCUCCCAGAGAGGCUGCCUGGCCUGGGGACCCCUGAAUCUGCAGCUGAACAGAAAAACCACUGCAGACUCUCCCCAGCCUCUGCCCCGGGCUGCCCG